UACGUAGGGGGCAAGCGUUGUCCGGAUUUAUUGGGCGUAAAGAGCGUGUAGGCGGCCGUACAGGUCAGCUGUGAAAACUCGAGGCUCAACCUCGAGACGUCGGUUGAAACCGUACGGCUAGAGUCCGGAAGAGGAGAGUGGAAUUCCACGUGUAGCAGUGAAAUGCGUAGAGAUGUGGAGGAAUACCGAUGGCGAAGGCAGCCCCCUGGGCCAAUACUGACGCUCAUGCACGAAAGCGUGGGGAGCAAACAGG
Molecule: ribosomal RNA, 253 nt
Filed under: uncultured bacterium
Lineage: Bacteria
Description: partial 16S ribosomal RNA
Rfam family: Bacterial small subunit ribosomal RNA
Source: RNAcentral